AAAAAAAUUAAAAUUAAUUUGUUGUAUUAAAUAUGAAGCAUACUUCAACAAGCAACAAAAUAUACAAAUAAAACAUACUUCAACAGAAACUUUCUUUAAUUCAAAUUCAUUUUGUAAUAUAUAGAAUUUGAAAUAAAUAUAAGAAAAACAUUUUUGGUUCAUUUUCAGGCAACAACUUUCCAGUUGAUUAGUGCACGAUUUAUUUACUUUGUUUUAGUUCAUUAACCAGGAAACCCUUGUUUUCCCCAUUUUUUGCCCCUGAUUCCUAAAUGGUUUGAGCUAUAACCCCCACAGUCAAUCCUAGCCAUUCCUUUGUGGUAUGGAAGCUUGUGUUAUAAUUACAGAGAGAUUCAUACACUUAACACAAGUCAUUGUCUGGAAACUACUAAAAUGCUUAUUUAGGUCCCUUUUUUUGGCCCUUAAUUCCAAAACUGUUGGGACCAUAACCCCCAAAAACAAUCCAAACUUUCCUUUCAAGGUUAUAAACAUUGUGUUUAAAUUUCAUAGAUUUCUAUUUUCUUGUACUAAAGUGCACUGUAUUUGUCGGGAAACCAACUGUCUUCAGAUGACGCGGACGACAACGACAACAUGAUACCACAAUAUGAUCGCAAAAUUUUUUUGUAGUCUUAUAAAAAUAAUUGUAAUUUAUAUAAAAAAAAUAUUGUGUAGUCAUUGCUUUGUGACCAACUUUAAAAGAUGUCCAAACUUAAUACCACUUUUUG
RNAcentral lists this long non-coding RNA (722 nucleotides) under Mytilus galloprovincialis (Mediterranean mussel). Lineage: Eukaryota; Metazoa; Mollusca; Bivalvia; Mytilida; Mytilidae. The record is from RNAcentral.